UGAAAGAGAGAGAAUUAACUGAUAAAAUAUAUGAAUUAUAUUUCUACAUAAUAUAUAUGAAUUAUAUUUCUACAAAAAGAAAGUGAUAAAUUUAUAAUAUAUUAAUAAGAGAUAAAUAAUUUUUUUUUGUAGUAUAUGUGAAGAUACUUUUAUACUACCUCUUUUUUUUUUUUUUAUACUAUCUCUUAUAAUGAGAAAAGUGUAUAAUAAAUAAUCUUGAAAGUUAAAUUCCACUUGGUAAUAAACAUAAAUUAAUUGCUUGUUUACCCUGGUGUGUUGCUUCAGAUAGUCUUCAGAUGGUCUAUUA
Molecule: long non-coding RNA, 307 nt
Filed under: Capsella rubella
Lineage: Eukaryota; Viridiplantae; Streptophyta; Magnoliopsida; Brassicales; Brassicaceae
Description: long non-coding RNA (CRUB_LNC004998)
Source: RNAcentral